ACCUGGCCGGCUUAGUUGGUGGAGCGUGUGGCUCUUGAUCUCAGAGUUGUGGGUUCAAGCCUCACGUUGGGUG
This 73-nucleotide transfer RNA is filed under the name Felis catus (domestic cat). It matches the Rfam family "tRNA". From Rfam's summary of the family: Transfer RNA (tRNA) molecules are approximately 80 nucleotides in length. Their secondary structure includes four short double-helical elements and three loops (D, anti-codon, and T loops). Lineage: Eukaryota; Metazoa; Chordata; Mammalia; Carnivora; Felidae. RNAcentral also lists the same sequence under 2 other names. The record is from Rfam by way of RNAcentral.